This 1439-nucleotide ribosomal RNA is filed under the name uncultured bacterium. RNAcentral's name for it is "bacterial SSU rRNA". It matches the Rfam family "Bacterial small subunit ribosomal RNA". The record is from RNAcentral.
AGGGUUUGAUCAUGGCUCAGAACGUACGCUGGCGGCACGCCUAACACAUGCAAGUCGAACGAAGUAGCAAUACUUAGUGGCAGACGGGUGAGUAACAUGUGGGUAUCUGCCCUUUGGCCUGGAAUAACACGAGGAAACUUGUGCUAAUACCGGAUAAGUCUUUACGGAGAAAGCUUUAUGCACCAUUGGAUGAGCCCGCACUUGAUUAGUUUGUUGGUGGGGUAAUGGCCUACCAAGACUGUGAUCAAUAGCUGAUUUGAGAGGAUGAUCAGCCACAUUGGGACUGAGACACGGCCCAAACUCCUACGGGAGGCAGCAGUGGGGAAUCUUGCACAAUGGAGGAAACUCUGAUGCAGCGAUGCCGCGUGAGUGAAGAAGGCCCUUGGGUUGUAAAGCUCUUUCGUCGGGGAAGAAAAUGACUGUACCCGAAUAAGAAGGUCCGGCUAACUUCGUGCCAGCAGCCGCGGUAAUACGAAGGGACCUAGCGUAGUUCGGAAUUACUGGGCUUAAAGAGUUCGUAGGUGGUUGAAAAAGUUGGUGGUGAAAUCCCAGAGCUUAACUCUGGAACUGCCAUCAAAACUUUUCAGCUAGAGUAUGAUAGAGGAAAGCAGAAUUUCUAGUGUAGAGGUGAAAUUCGUAGAUAUUAGAAAGAAUACCAAUUGCGAAGGCAGCUUUCUGGAUCAUUACUGACACUGAGGAACGAAAGCAUGGGUAGCGAAGAGGAUUAGAUACCCUCGUAGUCCAUGCCGUAAACGAUGUGUGUUAGACGUUGGAAAUUUAUUUUCAGUGUCGCAGCGAAAGCGAUAAACACACCGCCUGGGGAGUACGACCGCAAGGUUAAAACUCAAAUGAAUUGACGGGGACCCGCACAAGUAGUGGAGCAUGUGGUUUAAUUCGAAGAUACGCGCAGAACCUUACCAACACUUGACAUGUUCGUCGCGACUCUAAGAGAUUAGAGUUUUCGGUUCGGCCGGACGAAACACAGGUGCUGCAUGGCUGUCGUCAGCUCGUGUCGUGAGAUGUUGGGUUAAGUCCCGCAACGAGCGCAACCCUCACUUUUAGUUGCCAUCAUUAAGUUGGGCACUCUGAAAGAACUGCCAGUGAUAAGCUGGAGGAAGGUGGGGAUGACGUCAAGUCCUCAUGGCCCUUACGUGUUGGGCUACACACGUGCUACAAUGGUAUCUACAACAGGAAGCAAGACUGCGAAGUUAAGCAAAUCCCUAAAAGAUACCUCAGUUCGGAUUGCACUCUGCAACUCGAGUGCAUGAAGCUGGAAUUACUAGUAAUCGUGGAUCAGCGUGCCACGGUGAAUGCGUUCCCGGGUCUUGUACACACCGCCCGUCACACCAUGGGAGUUGGUUCUACCUUAAGGCAAGGUUUCAAACCCUUGACCACGGUAUAGUCAGCGACUGGGGUGAAGUCGUAACAAGGUAGCCGUA